AGAGUUUGAUCAUGGCUCAGGACGAACGCUGGCGGCGUGCUUAACACAUGCAAGUCGAGCGGUAAGGCCUUUCGGGGUACACGAGCGGCGAACGGGUGAGUAACACGUGGGUGAUCUGCCCUGCACUUCGGGAUAAGCCUGGGAAACUGGGUCUAAUACCGGAUAUGACCUCCUAUCGCAUGGUGGGUGGUGGAAAGAUUUAUCGGUGCGGGAUGGGCCCGCGGCCUAUCAGCUUGUUGGUGGGGUAAUGGCCUACCAAGGCGACGACGGGUAGCCGACCUGAGAGGGUGACCGGCCACACUGGGACUGAGACACGGCCCAGACUCCUACGGGAGGCAGCAGUGGGGAAUAUUGCACAAUGGGCGAAAGCCUGAUGCAGCGACGCCGCGUGAGGGAUGACGGCCUUCGGGUUGUAAACCUCUUUCAGCAGGGACGAAGCGCAAGUGACGGUACCUGCAGAAGAAGCACCGGCUAACUACGUGCCAGCAGCCGCGGUAAU
This 499-nucleotide ribosomal RNA is filed under the name uncultured Rhodococcus sp. RNAcentral describes it as "bacterial SSU rRNA". It matches the Rfam family "Bacterial small subunit ribosomal RNA", at positions 8 to 524 of the family's 1533-position model. The record is from RNAcentral. Lineage: Bacteria; Bacillati; Actinomycetota; Actinomycetes; Mycobacteriales; Nocardiaceae.